UCCCAGGCUGAAGAUUCAUGCAGGCCCUGCGCUUAGCCCAGACUCUGGCCAGGCCCGGCCCAGCCCGAAGGUGGGCGGCUCCCGGCGCAGGGCGGCCCAGCCCCAACCACUGAGAGGAGGACCCUCCGGCGUCCUAGAGUGGCCGCAGGCCGCGGCGUCGGGUUGGAAAACCAGGAGAGCAUGGAGCUUUUUCGCUGGUCCGGCGCGGUCUCUUGCGUUCCUGUGGCGGGCACCUGACUCCCCAUGCCCGAGUACUGUCCUCAGGCGGAACGGCGUCUGCAGCGAGGAGCGGGGUUCCAGCAGGCUCGGCUGACGCGGUCCCUGGCAUUUCCCGUGCUGGCCCUGGGUCGCCCUCGAUGCUGCUUCCCGCUGGGAGCCUCCUUCUGACGGCGGAAAGGAGCUUCACCUGGGGCGGCCGGCGGGGAACGGAGAAGAAUCCACCGGGGAAGUGGACGGGGCUGGCUCCCGGGCCUGGCGCUGCGGCUCUCGGGCCGUCAGACCUCCCGCGGGUUGCGUCACUUUCCUCGGUUUUCUAGACAGCAGUUGUGGGGUUGAAUCCUUGCCGUGGUUUUGUAAGAAUUAAAUGAGAUAAUGAACGCGAACACCAAUCAUUGCUCUUUGUUGGGUGCUUCCUGUGGGCCUGGCAAUAUUAACAACACGAGCUCAUUCAUGCAUUCAUUUGCUACUCAGUGACUUUCCUGUCAAUACUGCAAGGUGCUGGAGAUGAGCCCCCACUCUUUGGUCAGUAAAACUGCCAAGAUCACCGACCUUGUGAAGACAUUUGAGGAUGAGAGGUUGGUUGGAGCCUGGACGUGGAGACAGACUCUAAAUAGUUAACUACAAGACACAUGUAAUUACAACUUUGAGAGCUUAUAGCGGGAGGCCCUUUUGGGAAGGGGGUGGAGAUGGAGAAGAGGAAGAAAGAAAGGGCUUCCCUGAGGAAGUAAUAUUGCAGCUGUGACCUGACAGAUGAGGCCGAACCAGCUAGACUCGUGUUUCAGGCCUCGGGAAUAGCAUAAGGACUCCAGCUGGCUCCUUCCGGGUUGAGUCCUUAUGCUGAAAUUGGUAUUUGGCACACACCAGUAGUAGAACGCCACUCAAUGCCUUAUUCUCUUCCCCUUCUCUCAGCUCUGUCCCCUC
RNAcentral lists this long non-coding RNA (1140 nucleotides) under Homo sapiens (human). RNAcentral's name for it is "non-protein coding LINC01023:1". Lineage: Eukaryota; Metazoa; Chordata; Mammalia; Primates; Hominidae. The record is from RNAcentral.